UCGUAUGUUUCAGGCAACAGCUUUAUUUCCGAAAGCAAUGUUAUAGAUCAUAUUUGUUUCACUAAAUGUGGUUUUCUGAAAGUUUUACAAAUUUUUUUAAUAAACACGUGUUUCUUGCUCUGAAAUACCAUAUUCAAUCUUUUGAAGAUGAAGAAUUAUCUUAUCAUGUGUAUUUUCGUCUUGUGCACAGUUGGGACAUUAUAUGCCUUCACCUGUGACAGUUGCAGACAGGACAUCGCCUCGUGUAUCGAAGUAUGUGGUCAGUUGACAUCAAAAGAGAAGUGCUAUUGUCAGAAAGCAUGUUAUAAAUCUGCACUUAUUUGUCUCAACUCUUGUGUUGACCUGUCAGGAUGGGAAGACAUUUGGUUGCUUUUGGCUGAUGAUUAGAAAAAAGUUUAUUUACUACGAGAAGCCGACAUCCAUAAUGUAAAUAAAGAUUAUAAUAAUCA
Mytilus californianus (California mussel) is the source of this 449-nucleotide long non-coding RNA. RefSeq lists it as uncharacterized. The record is from RefSeq and is a predicted model, not a curated record. NCBI's taxonomy places the organism in Eukaryota, Metazoa, Mollusca, Bivalvia, Mytilida, Mytilidae. The transcript has 2 exons.